Molecule: ribosomal RNA, 479 nt
Filed under: uncultured bacterium
Lineage: Bacteria
Description: bacterial SSU rRNA
Rfam family: Bacterial small subunit ribosomal RNA
Source: RNAcentral
AUUGAACGCUGGCGGCAUGCCUUACACAUGCAAGUCGAACGGUAACGGGCCUUCGGGUGCCGACGAGUGGCGAACGGGUGAGUAAUGCAUCGGAACGUACCUUUCAGUGGGGGAUAACGUAGCGAAAGUUACGCUAAUACCGCAUAUUCUGUGAGCAGGAAAGCAGGGGAUCGCAAGACCUUGCGCUGAUUGAGCGGCCGAUGUCAGAUUAGCUAGUUGGUGAGGUAAAGGCUCACCAAGGCGACGAUCUGUAGCGGGUCUGAGAGGAUGAUCCGCCACACUGGAACUGAGAUACGGCCCAGACUCCUACGGGAGGCAGCAGUGGGGAAUAUUGCACAAUGGGCGCAAGCCUGAUGCAGCGACGCCGCGUGAGGGAUGACGGCCUUCGGGUUGUAACCUACUUUCAGCACAGACGAAGCGCAAGUGACGGUAUGUGCAGAAGAAGGACCGGCCAACUACGUGCCAGCAGCCGCGGUAAU